This 7671-nucleotide long non-coding RNA is filed under the name Nicotiana tabacum (common tobacco). Its description in RNAcentral is "long non-coding RNA (NTAB_LNC007182)". The record is from RNAcentral. Lineage: Eukaryota; Viridiplantae; Streptophyta; Magnoliopsida; Solanales; Solanaceae.
CCAAACCAAACAAUAGACGUCUAAAUCAUACUAACCAAAUACGCAACUUCGAAGCAAAUGGAGCGCACCAACAUCUUCUGCUAAGCUGAUAGCCUACUUAGAGGGAUCUCGACCUGUCUAUCAGGACCUGCGGGCAUGAAACGCAGUGUCCCUAGGCAAAAGGGACGUCAGUACGAAUAAUGUACCGAGUAUGUAAGGCACAUAAAUAGAUACAUACAAGACAUGGAAUAAAUAUAGAGUACUUGACUCAACCUGUAAGUCUGAAUAACUUCGUAAAUCAUAAAUUGCCUUUAGCGUCAUGCAUAUAGGUAUGAAUGUCAUGUCGUGCAUAGGUACAUGUUUCAUAACAUCAUAGCCUCUGAGGGCAUCCCAUCAUAUCAUAUAGGCCACUGUGGGCAAAAUCAUCAUCGUAUACCAGCUGAUCAGGUGGUGGUGCAUAUAUAACGCCAUAACCUUUCCCAUAUCCCAUAUACAUAUAUAUACAUACAUAUAUAUGCGUAUAUAACGCUGUUUGAAUACAUACAUAUAUAUGCGUAUAUAAGGCCGUUUGAAUACAUACCCGUAUAUGCGUAUAUAACGCCGUUUGAAUCAUAUUUCAGCCACUGUGGGCAACAUCAUCAUCAUAUACCAGCUGAUCAGGUAGUGAUGCGUAUAUAACGUCGUAACCUUUUCCCAUAUCCCAUAUACAUAUAUAUACAUACAUAUAUAUGCGUAUAUAAUGCCGUCUGAGUCAUGGGUCAAUGUACAUGUAUAAAUGCAUGAAAUGCAUAUGAGAUACAAUAACAAAAUCUCUCGAUACGUCAUAAGACCAUUAUACCUUUGAUUAAUAUCGCAACAUCAUUUUACGUAUUUUCUGAGGCCUAUGAACAGGCGAUGGAAUAAUAAUACAUAUGGAAAUUCAAGAACAUAGGCACUUCUAGUACUUUUAUGAAUAGAGUCAUAUAUGAAAUUUGUGCAUUUUCACGUUUCGUUCGUAUCGUAUGGAUCAUGCCAAAAUAAAGAAGGGAUAGCCUUAACAUACCUUAAGUGAUUCCCUUGAGAAAGAUUGCACCGUACUCCCUUAUAAUUGCAAAAUCUUAUGUUUCUUAUUAAAUCUGGGUUGAAUUGUUGAAGAUCAUUUCUUCUUAAAGUUUGAUAUAUGCACUUAUCUUUACAUUAGAGAGGCAUACGUGAAGUAUUAACAAGGAAGAUCAAACUGGACAACCAAGCGUACUCAUAACAGUAACAUUAGCCAAAUACCUACUAAGCGCUCUAUCAUUUUAUUUGGUAUUGUAAUGGGAAAAUGUUAUGUGUUCUUUCUAAGGUAUACUCAUGUUACUUCUAAUUGAAAGAACACUACAUCUGAAUCUCUUCAAGAUCUAAAAGGCCAAAUGAAUUAAAUGGUCACAAAUUUGUGUUUAAGUGGAUGUGGCCCACUUCAUGUGGUGGCUUAACCACAUGCCUUUAAUUUUCCACCUUUCAAUUUAAUGUAAGAGUCAUUUUAAUUUGAAAGUAGGGGCUGUCACCUCAUGCCUCCAAUCUUUAUGCAAUAUAAUUGCUUAAUUAAUUGAGAAAUAUUCCAUUAUCCAAUAAUUAACCAAUCAUCUAUAUAAUUAAGAAUUAUCUCAAAUUACUUAAAAUACUACUCACUUUUCACACACCUUAUACUUCUCACUAUCAUGGCCACGGGGUACCUUGUAUGGUACUAGUCCAUAAAUACUGGAUAUUUUAGCUCGGGCCGCAUUUUAUCCCAAAAACGUCAAACUUCAACGAAAUUUAUUUUCUUUGAUUUGCUUACCUGCUCACCUUCACGAAUUUACUCGUUACUUGUUUGAAAUAGCAUAAUCCUUAUAAUCCCAAAAUAAUCUUUUCCUUGGACUGAUGUCAAUUACCUUACGACAAAUUCAACGUAAAAUAUUGCAGGGUGCAACACUGUCGUAACUUAUUACUGCGAAGCGUAACAUCUCCGUAAUGUAAUACUACUGGGUAGAAAACUGUCGUAACAUAUUACUGCAGAGCAUAACAUUGUCGUAAUACAAUACUGCGAGACAUAAUAUUGACGUAAUAUUACGGGGUGUAACAUCAUUCCCCCCUUUGGAACAUUCGUCCUCGAAUGUUGACAGAUGCUCUUAUCAUUUUCGUAACUUAUAGCUUUUAUGAAUACAUUAAUACUCUUCUUGCCAUUCUAGCAGUUGUUCUGUGAAUAAAUCCAAAGUCUAGGGUAUUUCCCCCUUUACUCUUUUUGCUCAUAUCAUGAACUGUGGUCGAAAUCUUCCUAAUCUUGCAACGUUUGUUACCUCUUGUCAUGCAGCCUGUAUGACCCUGGCUUUAUAGGUGCACUUAUGUAAUUCAUCUUUCCUUUGUCCCUUUUAACUCUUAGUCAAUCUCUGAGCCUUACUUUGUAUAUAUAAGGCUUAAUAGGAUGCCUCUCGGGCCUUUAUAGGUAUACUGAAGUCCUUUACUCGAUACUUUGUAGAACUUGCGAAUAUGGCCAUAUCUUAUUUCAUAUAUUUGGCUACCCAUUCACAUGACUUUACUGCAUUUACCAUAAUUUUUGUUUCAACCUACCUUUACUGAGGUACGCUUACCAAGCUCCCAGUUACUUUUAUUGCCUAUCCUUUAGGUAUAAAUCUCAAUCCUUCAAUGCUCCUUCAUUACCGUUCGUCUUAAGAACGACGACCUAAUCUUAUCUCAUACUUUGUGACUUUUGUCCAUCCAUUAUUGAUUCAUCUCAAUUUUGAUCCAUAAUCCACCCCUCAUAACUUAACCUUUUAUGUAAUAUUGCUGCUAGGAUUCACGUUUUAUUGGGGGACAUCUGAAAUGAUUAGAUUGAUCCAUCUGGGGCGAUACCCUGCUUUCAUAACCGUAUCUCACGGUAUCCCAAUGUGAUUUACCUUGCGUGUAUAUUUUUAUUCUGUCGAAUUCAUGAGAUCCCUUUCUUUUAUUUGUCAGAUCAUUACUCAAUCGAAGGCCCAAACAUCAUUUUUGUCUAUAAUAAUUACACCCUCAUUCUAUUAACAGGGCAGCAUUCCAUCUCUUUUGAAUGUUACUAGCGUUAGACUCCUUUGAGUUCAUUCAGGCUAUACUAAACUUUCAAUGACUUAGAGAAACCAUUAUCUCUCUUCUUUUCAUGGACUUAAUCCUGAGGAAUUAUCCUUUCUCGUCGCCUUUUUACUUGUCUUUCCUCAUUCUUACUCAUGUUUUCUUAAAACUUUAUCACUCUACCAUACUUUAGCUUGCGACCUAUAGAUAUCCAUUUAUAAUACUCGCAACUUUCCUUCAACUUGCUUGCACAAUGGAUUUUCUUAUGUUAUUCUGGAAUGUCAACCGAUACAACACAUCGUCUCUAACUCUUCUUUAUUCUCUUAAUUGGGUCUCUCAAUACUUAAAAACCAUAGGUUGGAAGACAUGCUGCUGACGAUGCCGCUAUCCCGGUUAUUGGAUCUCUGUGCUUAUAGCUUUCUAUCCGAAGUAUGGACUAUUCACGAUCUUCUGCCUUUAGAUAUCUCGUACGUUGUUCACCUUUACUUUACUUACCUUAAAAUCUCGUAUUGUAUCUUUUAUCUCUUUUCUGACCUCCCUUCCACCUAGGUGUAAUUCACGUCCAUAACUUGAAGCUCUAUUAUAAUACUCGCACCUCUGGUAUAUACAUAAUCCGGUAGGAGCUUUGUACUGACUUCUUAUGAGGCUAGUAUUCUUCAGUUGGCUUCAUCAUAGAGCUAUUUUAAAAUAUGGCUACUGUACUAUCUUUCUUAUACUUCUGCUACUUAACAGUGAUCCUGAGGUCUAUAAUUCUCUUGGUCCCUUCUGUUUUGCUUAGUUAAUGUAACUCUUUAGUCUCCUCUUCUUUCUAAUGAGCCUCUAUGUAGGCUUAAGCUAUCUUCCGAUCCGUGGCUCAUGGUAUCAAUUAUUACCUUAAAUUUUCAUGGGCAUUAUGGAAUAUCCAUGAUACAAUCUUCUAACAAUUCAAUCCUUUGGCUAUGCCCUGGGCUCAAUUCUUUCUUUUAACUUAUACCGGAGUCUUAUAUGAUUGUGUGAUUGUCAACAAUUAUGCUGCCUGGAUAAUGUUCCAAUCUCUUGAGUGUAUCUAUAACGUACUAACUCUUAAUCAUUGACCGAAUAAUUUUUCCAUUUCAUCUUAGUUUUCUUUCAAUGUGAGCUAUUACUUUUCCUGUCUUUCUGCCCCUUUGUUGCGUCCAUACUUAGAUUAUCUUAGUGCCCACACUUGCAAGAGUAUCCAUACAACUCAUAUGAUCUCAAAUAUUACUUUUAAUUCUUACUUCCCGUUCAUUAGCCACGUUAGGUGCCACUUUCCUUUGGAGUGCUUACAAUGUUGUUGUACGACUGUUGUUACACGACCAUUUCCUCUUUAGGUCGUUGUGCUUGGGUUGAAGCCUUCUUCCUUAUUUCCUCAGCUAGUCUUUUGUUGUAGUACUUAGGUAGAAACCUUGACUCUCAUAAAGUUGUGAGCUUAUUACGGAUCUUUUGAUGUCCUUCCUUGCCUAUGCUUAUCCGUAGUUACAUACCUCCAUGCCAUUGUGCUUGUAGGGUUGCUUCUGAACUGAUAUUUUGACUGUCUCCCUAGUGGUACUCUCUUUUAUUCCCAUAACAUUCAUAUGGUACCUUUAACUACCCUGACUCCUCUCUGAAUAUAUUUCAAGUAUUAUAAUAACAUUACUGCGAAGCUGAACUCACUAUAUUGGGUUUUACUACGUUUAUCUUGCACGAUCUUUUGAUUCGUCUGUAACCUCAUGUCUAGCCGUAACUAGGCCUUUCCUUAAUUAACUUCUAACUACUAGUUGGCCCAUUCUCAUAUAAAUAUUUCACAUAACAAUUCUUGGGUUAUUUCCUUUGUCUUAACUUACGUCUCGCGCUAGCUCCUUAUUUAUUCAUAACAUUCUAGCAGGAACGCCUCACUUCUUCUCCUUAACGUCGUGUUUGCAUAAUGUUUUGGGAUCGUAGCCUAUCUGUAGGCUUUGAAUAGUGUGAUCUCAUCCCUUUCCUAUUUUUAUUGCAUUCUUCCUUUGCAUUUCGUAGCUACUAGAACCACUUAAUUCUGACUUAACACCACAUCACUCCAUAUUCCCCCUUUAGGGGUGUACUAAAAGCUGAAGCCACGAGUAUCUACCUAUAGAUGUUUUACCUCUUUAUCAUUGGCGUCGUUUCUCAACAUCAAUGAUUCUUACUCGCCUUGCGACAAUCCUUCUGUACCAAGGAUGACAAAUUCCCUUACUCGUGAGAGUGACACAUAGCAUAACUGGCACAUACAGUCUCUUAAGCUUAAUUUUGCUCACAUUGUUUGCUCUAGGGAAGCAUCUCCCUGAAUGAAUAUUCUUUGAAUUCAUCGUGAAUCUUCUUCUGUGGUCCCUUCUAUUACCGCUGGAAUGAAAUCUGAAAUUCCCAUGAUGCCGAGUACUUUUUAAUCAUGCAGUCCCAAAUUCAUAUUUGGUUUAUCUUAUUUACCAAUCCAUACUGAUUUCUGCUACUCUGGGGAUUAACUCUCCCCUCUGGUAGUUGUGGUGGAGUCACGAACUUAUUUCUCAAAACGAGGAUAUAACCUUAUGGCCUAUAUUCUUUCGUUGCCUUAAGGUCCAUCACCUUUUGUCUCUUCCUUCAUUUGACUAUAGGUUCUGUAAUACUCUAGCAUUUUUAUCCAUGUAUCAGACCUUAUUCAUAAUGCUUCUUUAUCUCUCUUCCCAUUAUUCUGCUAAUAUUCUGCAUAUCCCUUUUCUUGUGAAAACUUGAUUACGACAUUCUUUCGCUCUUAGCUUUCCAUUGUUCUAUUUAGUGGCUCUUCGAGAUGCUAAACGUUCUCACUUUACUAGAGACGCGAGACACAUUAGGGUAAUAUGUAUCUCUUGAAGGCUUAUAGUUCAUGUCUUUGUAGCACUCAUAUUUGGCUGCACUUUUUCAGAGUGCACCAUCUGGUGUCUCAUAAGGAGAUCUAUUAGCAUAUUUGCAAUAUCCUUCGGAAAUGUCAACUGACGCAAAUAAUUCAUCCAUCAUAUCUUCUUAUACUACUUUUGUUAACACCUAUAGGGCAUAUCUGGAAGGGGUGCGACCAAUUGUAUAUACCUUUGUUACUAUCGAAUAUAACUCAAAAAGCUUAUGUUCCUUUGCCUCAAUUAUAAAUGUUGUUAACCUUCAUCAACUGGGUACCUCAUAUCCUUUUUCACCUUGCUCCUUUUAUUUGCUGAAACUUGUACUUAUCUUCUCUAUCUCUCAUUGUCCUUCAUCAUAAAUAUGGAUAAGUAUUCUUGCCUUAAGGCUUCUUAUCAGGAAGCUUACACCUUUCAGUACACUCAUGAUCUGCUAAAAACCUCACAUUUACUUAUCGUAGGCAUCAUAGAAAAAUCCAAUUGCUCUGACUCAGCUCUUCCACAACUAUCUCUUUUUCCAACCAUUUUUCUGGAUGUAGGUAUCAUCUUAUUACGAAUAAAAUAGAAUUUCGAAACUUGAAUUCUUAUAAGUGAGCUAUACCACACGAUCUAGAGUAAGAAGAAAGAGUGGCAAUCUUAAAUGCCUUGUAGCCUCCUACUUAUAAGUGUGGUGCACGACACACCCAUAAACAAGACUCUACUAGACACGGCUUGUAGACAUCCCUAGGAAAGACCUGCUCUGAUACCACUUUUGUCACGACCCAAACCGAUGGGCCACGACGGGCACCCGGUACCUUACUCAAUCGAGUACCAACGUAACGUAUUUUUCUUAUUACAUUAUCAUAUACACAUGACAUAUGGCCCUAAUAGGCCAACAUGAUUAUUUAUAAACUCAAGACAUCAGCCGACAAGGCCGUACAAUCUUUCACGUACAAGACAUAUGUCUACAAGCCUCUAAGAGUACAUAAGUGUCACAAAGGUCGGGACAGAAUCUUGCCAAACCAAACAAUAGACGUCUAAAUCAUACUAACCAAAUACCAACUCCGAAGCAAAUGGAUCGCACUAACAUCUUCCGCUGAGCUGAUAGCCUACUUAGAGGGAUCUCGACCUGUCUAUCAGGACCUGCAGGCAUGAAACGCAACGUCCCCAGGCAAAAGGGACGUUAGUAUGAAUAAUGUACCGAGUAUGUAAGGCACAUAAAUAGAUACAUACAAGACAUGGAAGAAAUAUAGAGUACAUGACUCAACUUGUAAGUCUGAAUAACUUUGUAAAUCAUAAAUUACCUUUAGCGUCAUGCAUAUAGGUAUGAAUGUCAUGUCGUGCAUAGGUACAUGUUUCAUAACAUCAUAGCCUCUAAGGGCAUCCCAUCAUAUCAUAUAGGUCACUGUGGGCAAAAUCAUCAUCGUNNNNNNNNNNNNNNNNNNNNNCCGAUACGUCAUAAGACCAUUAUACCUUUGAUUAAUAUCGCAACAUCAUUUUACGUAUUUUCUGAGACCCAUGAACAGUCGAUGGAAUAAUAAUACAUAUGGAAAUUCAAGAACAUAGGCAUUUCUAGUACUUUUAUGAAUAGAGUCAUAUAUGAAAUUUGUGCAUUUGCACGUUUCGUUCGUAUCGUAUGGAUCAUGCCAAAAUAAAGAAGGGAUAGCCUUAACAUACCUUAAGUGAUUCCCUUGAGAAAGAUUGCACUGUACUCCCUUAUAAUUGCAAAAUCUUAUGUUUCUUAUUAAAUCUGGGUUGAAUUGUUGAAGAUCCUUUCUUCUUAAAGUUUGAUAUAUGCACUUCUCUUUACAUUAGAGAGGCAUACGUGAAGUAU